Molecule: ribosomal RNA, 465 nt
Filed under: Vreelandella stevensii
Lineage: Bacteria; Pseudomonadati; Pseudomonadota; Gammaproteobacteria; Oceanospirillales; Halomonadaceae
Description: partial 16S ribosomal RNA
Rfam family: Bacterial small subunit ribosomal RNA
Source: RNAcentral
CCUGCGGGCGGCAGCAGUGGGGAAUAUUGGACAAUGGGCGAAAGCCUGAUCCAGCCAUGCCGCGUGUGUGAAGAAGGCCUUCGGGUUGUAAAGCACUUUCAGUGGGGAAGAAAGCCUUGGGGCUAAUACCCUCGAGGAAGGACAUCACCCACAGAAGAAGCACCGGCUAACUCCGUGCCAGCAGCCGCGGUAAUACGGAGGGUGCGAGCGUUAAUCGGAAUUACUGGGCGUAAAGCGCGCGUAGGCGGUCUGAUAAGCCGGUUGUGAAAGCCCCGGGCUCAACCUGGGAACGGCAUCCGGAACUGUCAGGCUAGAGUGCAGGAGAGGAAGGUGGAAUGCCCGGUGUAGCGGUGAAAUGCGUAGAGAUCGGGAGGAAUACCAGUGGCGAAGGCGGCCUUCUGGACUGACACUGACGCUGAGGUGCGAAAGCGUGGGUAGCAAACAGGAUUAGAUACCCGGGUAGUC